Molecule: long non-coding RNA, 852 nt
Organism: Xenopus laevis (African clawed frog)
Lineage: Eukaryota; Metazoa; Chordata; Amphibia; Anura; Pipidae
Exons: 3
Source: RefSeq, a predicted model, not a curated record
CCCUCCCUGAAAUCCCUCUCAUCAGCAGCAAACUCUUGCUAGCAAACCCCAGCCUAACCAAAUGUUCAGUUAUUUGCACUAAGACUAAUCUGAGCCUGUAAGAUACAAUAAGAAAGACAAAAAAACAGAGGAUAAGAGAGCAUCCACAGGGUGCCUGGUAGAUGCUGAGAAUGGAAAGGAUUUUUUUUUUCACUCCAGCUUGUUCAUUUGCAGAGCUAGUUGCAGCAAUCUCUUGAUAUCCACAGUCAUUUGCAAUGCAACAGCAAGAACAGCUUUCUCCAGAAACUACACUGCCACAAUAAACAGGCUGAAACAGAGUAUACACUUUCUGCAGAGGCUUGCUAGGAAACACUGUAGCAUGCUUUUUAAUUUGAUUAUGUUAGCAUGAUCCUUUCUACAGCAUGUUUAACAUAAAGGAGAGGAAUCAGAUGUCUGCUGAGGACAAUAGCAAAGAUUCACAUGCCUAAGGAAAUUGGCUUAAUACAAAAUGAGUCCUACUGCUACCCUAAUCUAUGGCCCUACAGACCUACUUAACAGAAGAGUGAAAGACUGGAAAUGUGACUCCAAUCAGUCAUCAUAUUUCAAGGAAUAAAGCAGAAGGAGCUAGUGAUGGGAUCGACAAUGCAAUGAAGAAAUGCAAACACUGCAAAAUCCUUCAUAAGCAGAGGUGCAAUCACAAAUGAUCAAUAAUCAAAGUAUUUUGCAGGUACACAGCAGGAAGAACCAAUAACUGGAGGGACAAAAGGUGGAAGAAAAAACACUGGUAAUAGGAAUGUAAGCAGUCUCAAGUCAAAAGUGUAAACACUUAAGUCCCUUUCAUGAAACUCAUCUACUAGAGGGACUGAUGGAAGA